Non-coding RNA from Pelobates cultripes (western spadefoot toad), 288 nucleotides. Lineage: Eukaryota; Metazoa; Chordata; Amphibia; Anura; Pelobatidae. The record is from the annotation of a GenBank genome assembly.
CCCUCCUAAGCUCAACCAUACGUAAUAAGCCCAAAUACACAUGUAUAUACUCUAAAUCAUAUAUACAUUUGCCCCACUACCAAAAUAACCACAUUAAACACAGCUGUGUUAUAUUUGUGGUUUUACUGUUGUAUUAUCUAAAACUGGUCCAAAUAUUUUUCUUCAGAAUGUGAUCUGUUUUAACAUUCUACCUACAGUAUAGAAGGAACUCCAUGAUCGUAUAGACUUUCUUUUAAAGACGCAGCAAGGCUUAAUCAGAAUUAUGAGCCCUAAGUACGGAAGUCAUUG